RNAcentral lists this ribosomal RNA (253 nucleotides) under uncultured bacterium. RNAcentral's name for it is "partial 16S ribosomal RNA". It matches the Rfam family "Bacterial small subunit ribosomal RNA", at positions 524 to 776 of the family's 1533-position model. The record is from RNAcentral.
UACGUAUGGUGCGAGCGUUGUCCGGAUUUACUGGGCGUGAAGGGGGCGCAGGCGGCGCGCCAAGCCCGAUGUGAAAGCCCGGGGCUCAACCCCGGGACUGCAUUGGGAACUGGCGUGCUGGAGUGCCGGAGGGGCAGGCGGAAUUCCUGGUGUAGCGGUGAAAUGCGUAGAUAUCAGGAGGAACACCGGUGGCGAAGGCGGCCUGCUGGACGGAUACUGACGCUGAGGCCCGAAAGCGUGGGGAGCAAACAGG